This 73-nucleotide transfer RNA is filed under the name Capra hircus (goat). It matches the Rfam family "tRNA". Rfam says of the family: Transfer RNA (tRNA) molecules are approximately 80 nucleotides in length. Lineage: Eukaryota; Metazoa; Chordata; Mammalia; Artiodactyla; Bovidae. The record is from Rfam by way of RNAcentral. RNAcentral also lists the same sequence under 1 other name.
UCCCUGGUGAUCCAGUGGUUAGGACUCCUCACUGUUACUGUUGAGGGCCUGGGUUCAAUCCCUGGUUGGGGAA